Molecule: ribosomal RNA, 727 nt
Filed under: uncultured Staphylococcus sp.
Lineage: Bacteria; Bacillati; Bacillota; Bacilli; Caryophanales; Staphylococcaceae
Description: bacterial SSU rRNA
Rfam family: Bacterial small subunit ribosomal RNA
Source: RNAcentral
GUCGAGCGAACGGACGAGAAGCUUGCUUCUCUGAUGUUAGCGGCGGACGGGUGAGUAACACGUGGAUAACCUACCUAUAAGACUGGGAUAACUUCGGGAAACCGGAGCUAAUACCGGAUAAUAUUUUGAACCGCAUGGUUCAAAAGUGAAAGACGGUCUUGCUGUCACUUAUAGAUGGAUCUGCGCUGCAUUAGCUAGUUGGUAAGGUAACGGCUUACCAAGGCAACGAUGCAUAGCCGACCUGAGAGGGUGAUCGGCCACACUGGAACUGAGACACGGUCCAGACUCCUACGGGAGGCAGCAGUAGGGAAUCUUCCGCAAUGGGCGAAAGCCUGACGGAGCAACGCCGCGUGAGUGAUGAAGGUCUUCGGAUCGUAAAACUCUGUUAUUAGGGAAGAACAUAUGUGUAAGUAACUGUGCACAUCUUGACGGUACCUAAUCAGAAAGCCACGGCUAACUACGUGCCAGCAGCCGCGGUAAUACGUAGGUGGCAAGCGUUAUCCGGAAUUAUUGGGUGUAAAGCGCGCGUAGGCGGUUUUUUAAGUCUGAUGUGAAAGCCCACGGCUCAACCGUGGAGGGUCAUUGGAAACUGGAAAACUUGAGUGCAGAAGAGGAAAGUGGAAUUCCAUGUGUAGCGGUGAAAUGCGCAGAGAUAUGGAGGAACACCAGUGGCGAAGGCGACUUUCUGGUCUGUAACUGACGCUGAUGUGCGAAAGCGUGGGGAUCA